GUGGAUUAGAUACCCUGGUAGUCCACGCUGUAAACGAUGGGCACUAGGUGUUCGGGGUAUUGACCCCCUGGGCGCCGCAGCUAACGCAUUAAGUGCCCCGCCUGGGGAGUACGGUCGCAAGAUUAAAACUCAAAGGAAUUGACGGGGGCCCGCACAAGCGGUGGAGCAUGUGGUUCAAUUCGACGCAACGCGAAGAACCUUACCUGGGCUAGACAACGGUGGACCGCCCUAGAGAUAGGGUUUUCCCUUCGGGGACUGCCGGUUCAGGUGCUGCAUGGUCGUCGUCAGCU
This 290-nucleotide ribosomal RNA is filed under the name uncultured bacterium. Its description in RNAcentral is "partial 16S ribosomal RNA". It matches the Rfam family "Bacterial small subunit ribosomal RNA", at positions 773 to 1060 of the family's 1533-position model. The record is from RNAcentral.